CAUGUUUCCAAUUAAAACUGAGCCCAGGAGACUCUGCAAGCCUGGGAUGGGCCAUGGAUGUGUCCUGUGCUCCCCUCCAGCACUGCCUGAGGUUUAUUUUCCUCCAGAUUGAUUGGAUGAGUUGUGUUCCCAGAGAUCAGAGAGUUCAGAUGGCAGAGGAUCCUCUUACCAGAAGAUGAAAGCCAACAUAAUCAACUGCACAACUUCAAAACAUGCAGCUUGUUCUUGUUGGCUGUGCCUAAGUUUUCCCUGCAGAGAAGCUGUCGACAAUGAUUUGAUAUCAAUCCAGUAACAAUCCCUGGUUUCUAAUAAUAAUUUGCACUUCAGUAGAAAUGUUCAUGUGAGGCUCUGAGAGCAUUUAGCAGAUGGUCAUUAGUGAAGCUCCCCAGUUCUCCUGCGAGGAAGAGAUAACAAUUACGAGCCUUGUUUUACAGAUGGCGACACCGAGGAAAACGUGGUCAAAGAGAUGAGCCUGGAAAGCAAAAAGCAAAUGACUCAAAGGCAGGAUUCAUGACACAUUUCUGGAAAUAAGGAAUUAGGUCUGGGUCAAUAAAUAACUGGGAAACCAGGGGGA
Molecule: long non-coding RNA, 574 nt
Organism: Vidua chalybeata
Lineage: Eukaryota; Metazoa; Chordata; Aves; Passeriformes; Viduidae
Exons: 3
Source: RefSeq, a predicted model, not a curated record